AUUGAACGCUGGCGGCAUGCCUUACACAUGCAAGUCGAACGGCAGCACGGGAGCAAUCCUGGUGGCGAGUGGCGAACGGGUGAGUAAUAUAUCGGAACGUGCCCAGUCGUGGGGGAUAACGUAGCGAAAGCUACGCUAAUACCGCAUACGAUCUAUGGAUGAAAGCGGGGGGUCGCAAGACCUCGCGCGAUUGGAGCGGCCGAUAUCAGAUUAGGUAGUUGGUGAGGUAAAGGCUCACCAAGCCGACGAUCUGUAGCUGGUCUGAGAGGACGACCAGCCACACUGGGACUGAGACACGGCCCAGACUCCUACGGGAGGCAGCAGUGGGGAAUUUUGGACAAUGGGCGCAAGCCUGAUCCAGCAAUGCCGCGUGCAGGAUGAAGGCCUUCGGGUUGUAAACUGCUUUGUACGGAACGAAACGGNGAGCUCUAAUACAGUUUGCUAAUGACGGUACCGUAAGAAUAAGCACCGGCUAACUACGUG
RNAcentral lists this ribosomal RNA (483 nucleotides) under uncultured bacterium. RNAcentral describes it as "bacterial SSU rRNA". It matches the Rfam family "Bacterial small subunit ribosomal RNA", at positions 30 to 507 of the family's 1533-position model. The record is from RNAcentral.